UCCCGAGUAAUACAUACUAAAUAGGCACAACUAAUUGAGAAUCCUAUCAAUCAACUACAACAAGAACGUAGUUGAACAAAUAGAGAUUAAAAUGGGCAAACUAUAUUAAUAUAACAAGAAGUUCAUCCUCAACAGGUUCCAUCAAAAACCCUAGACUAAGGAAUUAGCUACUCAUAGCAAAGCAAGAUACAACUACAAAAGUAUUCAUAAUGUGCAAUUGAAAUAACAAAGAGAAGAUUGAAAAACUCUAAUGGUUGAUUGCUCUUCUCACACUUGUUAUCGCCUCCAAAUCAGUCUAAAAACAAGCUUUCCUUUGCUUGGGAGAGUUUGUUGAGUUUAUAAGGGGCUAGGAUAAGUUUCCCCCGAUUUACACUUUAGUCCAACAAUUUCUGGGCAAUUACACAGUCGACCAGGGCUGUGGCAGAACACGGCGCGACCGGGGUGAACCACAAACAUUCUGCCUCGCUUUCUUGGCCUACCGCGGUCGCGGUGACCUCCAUCCCUGUCCUCCUUUGCCUCUUCCUUGCUUAAUUUUGUUUGGGUGCUUCUUGAUUGGCUUUUAUCCAUAUUAUUGACUCCAAAACACUCCAUAGGCUCUUUCUAACUUGGAUUAGUCCCUGCGAAGCAAAAGAACACCAAUUAGAGUAUCUUGUUAUCAUUUAGCCUGUAAAACAACAAUAAAGAAUGGUACAUUUAGAGUGUAAAUAUCGUCUAUAUAGCCUAUUAUCAAUGAGAUUAUAGUUACAUACCUGAAAAACUACGCCAGACUCAGCUAGCUUCCCUUAUUCUCCCCUCUAUUAUAUAAAGAAAGAUUUACACAUGUCUUUUGGUCCUUGCUUGAUACUUAAUUCUAAAUAGGAUAGCUGAAACAUAGAGAAUUUUUUUCCAUUUUUUUCUGGAUGACCAACUCGGUUGUUAAUUGGUCUUUUCUGAAGAUUUUGAUGUGAUAGUUGUUUCUAAAACAAUAAAUAUGCGUCAGAUUAAUUGGUUAUCUGUUUUAUGUAUUUUUUUGGGCGCAUAAUUAAUAGGGUUAGAGAUAUGAAGACAAUUAUGAAACGACAAAGGUAGGUACAUUAUACAAAAUAAGGACAUAAGGUUGUUGGCAAUGGACAUAAUAAGGUGAGAACAGGCUGUAGACAACUUAGACAAAAUUUGCUACUCAUUUCUUUCUCCUCCUAAAGUCCACGAUUUUAAGAGGGUUGGAUUAAAGUGAUAGCAUUUCUGUCUUCAAGCUUCCACCAAACUGGCCAUGACUUCUGGUGUAUCAUUGGUUCCCUUAACUAAGUUGGUUCAACUUGCUUACUUUAAUUUAUUAAUUGUUCUGCAGGUGUGUAGACAUCAAAAAUUUAACGGAUCAAACCCAUAUAAAAUUUGGACUUAAUCCUAAAUUUAAAACACUACAAGACAAGACUAUCCUUUCUCUUGCAACCCUAAUACCCAUCAAGGGUUUCUUGGAAGAUACUCUAUCCUAACUCUAGGUUACCUAUAAAAAAGCAGUACAUAUUCUCUUAAAGGGCCGGGAGAUCUCGAAAUUCCACAAAUUUAUGGAAUAUUCAUAAAUAGAUCAAAGACAUCAAAUAUUAUCUUUUUGAAAGAUGCCGAAGUGAUCAAAUAUUAUCUACAUCAUCCUAUGUUCGAGAAAUAUGUUGAUUAAGCCUACGAAUCACGGAGAAUAAUCAGGAAAGAAUAAUCAAGGGAGAAAAUAAAGAUAUACCCACAGAAAUUCAUCAAUACAAUUACUUUUCCUCAUAUUUUAUUUGUGAUUGCCAUUUAUUUUUCAUAGAUCGAAAAUUUAUUGCAAAAAAGUGAUCAGCUAACUAGUAUUAAUUAAUCGGAAUGCCUAGUGCCUAUAUAUCCUUCAUAUUGUUUUAGCUUUUGUCUAGUAGCAUUAUGAUUCUAAUUAAUUGGGAAAGACAAAUUAAAGUUACACCUUAUUCCAAGGGCAGAGGAACCUCACUGUUCAUACCAAACUUAAUAAAAUGAAUAAGGAUACGAACUCAUUUCAAAAGUAUUUUGAACCAUAAAUUACCGGCUAACUUCCAAAAGUUUAGGAGGUUUGGUGUCAAAAAUACGCGUCGAGCAUAUAUAAGCUGACUUUAUGUUUUCUAGAAACUAUAGAACUAAAAUAGUGUAUGUCUUUAGAUGUAAUUGUGUGGCCGGAAAGUUGGGGUUUUUGUACUUUUCUGUAGAUCACGCACAUGUGUUAGAGACUUUGGCAUAUAUACUGACUAUACCAUAACCAGCUGUGACAUUUUCUCAUUAGAAAUGAAACUUGACUUUUCAAAGGAUGCCUGGACAUCAUACGCGCGUCAAAAAGUGAAAAGAAACAGGAAAAAACUGGAUAUGUAAAAGAAAGAAAAAAAAGACUAGUGGUUGGAGAAAAGCAAAGAAGAAUGACAAAAAAAAAUGGAUCUCAUAAAAAGCGUUUGGUGAGUUCUUUGGUUGCUGGAGAAUAAGAUGCAAUGAUUUGAUUUUUCUUUUUCCUUUUCUGGAUUGCAUUUUCAUGGAGUAAACGAAGUAUAGAGGAUAAAAGGUUGGGACUAAAAAGUGUACGGUGGUCUUUUUAUUUUCACGUUAGUAGUUCACUUGAUUUGAAAGUAUGGCUUUUUCUGUUUGGGAUUAACAUUUUCACUAAAAAAUGUGAAUUUUUCUAUCCCACUUUCAAGUUCUGAGAUUGGCUAAUUAAAUAACCAAUUCUCAUUGAGAUGAUAUAGUUUGGAUUGAUUAUUUCUCAUUUGGUUGCUGUGAGUACUACAAGGUACGUUGUUCAAGAAGGAUAUAUGUAUUUAUUGUUCAUAGAUCUGUUAAUCGUAGUACCGUUUUGUAUCGUGAGACUUAAAAGAUAAAGGGGGAAAAAUGAAGUUAAAAAUAAUACUUCGACAUACAACUACAAAUUUCAAAUGUUUAUUACAGGGAAUAGCCUUUGCGAUUAGUAUUCGGUAGACAAACAAUUAUAAUAUAAUGGAACUAGCUACCUCUAUAGUGCAAUGUCUCCCUUUCAAGCAGUCGAUGUCAGUUGCCUUGGUUCUCAGCAUCCUUCCUUCCUUCUUUCUUUCUUUUUUCCUUUUUUUUUUCAUUUCCUAGUUGGACCACCAACGAGUGAAAAAUUCUGUUCUUUAAAAAUUUUGGGACUUUAGUCCCACUUAUGAUAGCAAAUUAAAUUUGUAUCAAUGUCCAAGCAAUAUACGGCUUUGAAGAGCAUAAGCCAUAUCCGCGCGUUCUGAUCUUAAAAUAUCCUGAUACCUUAUAGCAUCAAUUCAAUAGCGAAUGCACCGCCAGAAAAGCAGUGCCAGAAAUUUGUGAAAGCUUUAAAAAAUGCUAUAAUAUUGUAACAUUGCUUGAUAGAAAGGCAGUUUAGCGAUUUUUUAAAAGUUUAGAGAGAGAUUAUUUGAUAUAAAGGAAAAUUGUGUUAUUAUUCUGUU
Molecule: long non-coding RNA, 3422 nt
Filed under: Nicotiana tabacum (common tobacco)
Lineage: Eukaryota; Viridiplantae; Streptophyta; Magnoliopsida; Solanales; Solanaceae
Description: long non-coding RNA (NTAB_LNC005378)
Source: RNAcentral